Molecule: ribosomal RNA, 253 nt
Filed under: uncultured bacterium
Lineage: Bacteria
Description: partial 16S ribosomal RNA
Rfam family: Bacterial small subunit ribosomal RNA
Source: RNAcentral
UACGUAGGGGGCAAGCGUUGUCCGGAAUUACUGGGCGUAAAGCGCGCGUAGGCGGCUUUGUAAGUCAGAGGUGAAAUCCCGGGGCUCAACUCCGGAACUGCCUUUGAAACUGCAUCGCUUGAAUCCGGGAGAGGUGAGUGGAAUUCCGAGUGUAGAGGUGAAAUUCGUAGAUAUUCGGAAGAACACCAGUGGCGAAGGCGGCUCACUGGACCGGCAUUGACGCUGAGGUGCGAAAGCGUGGGGAGCAAACAGG